Molecule: ribosomal RNA, 373 nt
Filed under: uncultured bacterium
Lineage: Bacteria
Description: bacterial SSU rRNA
Rfam family: Bacterial small subunit ribosomal RNA
Source: RNAcentral
AUACGUAGGUGGCGAGCGUUGUCCGGAAUUACUGGGCGUAAAGGGUGCGUAGGCGGUCCAUUAAGUCUGAUUUGAAAUACCAUGGCUUAACCAUGGGGGGCGAUUGGAAACUGGUGGACUUGAGCAUAGGAGAGGAAGGUGGAAUUCCAUGUGUAGCGGUGAAAUGCGUAGAGAUAUGGAGGAACACCAGUGGCGAAGGCGGCCUUCUGGCCUAUAGCUGACGCUGAGGCACGAAAGCGUGGGGAGCAAACAGGAUUAGAUACCCUGGUAGUCCACGCUGUAAACGAUGAGUACUAAGUGUCGGGGAGAAGUCCUCGGUGCUGAAGUAAACACAUUAAGUACUCCGCCUGGGGAGUACGGUCGCAAGACUGAA